This 67-nucleotide transfer RNA is filed under the name Marmota monax (woodchuck). RNAcentral describes it as "tRNA.Ala". Lineage: Eukaryota; Metazoa; Chordata; Mammalia; Rodentia; Sciuridae. The record is from RNAcentral.
GGCUGUAGCUCAGUGGUAGAGGGCUUGCCUAGCAUGCAUGAGGUGCUGGGUUCCAUCCCCGGAACCA